CCUAUAUUCUGAUCCAUACUAUUCAUACUGCAGGAAUGAAGAAAGCUAGGCAGCCUGUUGUGAACCCACCAGGCACCUCAGAUGAUAUCGAGACUUCCUUUGGAGGCUCAUCUCAAGGGAAUCACGAAAAUUCUGCUGAAAAAAAUCUGGACGAUGCUAAAAGGAAGCAGAAACGAACCUGGUCUUCAACUGAAAUUGCAGCAGU
Molecule: long non-coding RNA, 205 nt
Organism: Danio aesculapii
Lineage: Eukaryota; Metazoa; Chordata; Actinopteri; Cypriniformes; Danionidae
Exons: 3
Source: RefSeq, a predicted model, not a curated record